Long non-coding RNA from Vidua chalybeata, 1082 nucleotides. RefSeq lists it as uncharacterized. The transcript has 3 exons. NCBI's taxonomy places the organism in Eukaryota, Metazoa, Chordata, Aves, Passeriformes, Viduidae. The record is from RefSeq and is a predicted model, not a curated record.
AUACACAUUCUUAGGCAAACUGAGAGGGCUGGAAAAAGCAGACAGACAGUGCAGUCUCAGACCCCUUUGCUACACAUCUCAAGGACCUUCUCAGACCAAAAUUUGCCUUCCUUCAUUAGGAGUUGGACUCAAUCACCCUUCCAACUCAGCAUAUUUUGUGGUUCUAUGAUUAAAAGGGGUUAUUUGAAAGGCAGUGAGCACAGGGUGGCUCAGCUGACAGGACCAAGUGAAUGGGAAUGGGAUGUUUUUUGUUGCUGUCCAGAGGUGGCUGGCUGGCUCUGAGUCACUGCAUGCAGCUUUACCUGCAGCCACUGAAACACUCUGAGUCACAAGGAGAGGCAGGGCAGCUGACAGUCAGAGACCAUAAACCAAAUCUUCAGCAGGUAUAAACUGGCACAGGCUUUCUGACUUCAAAGGAGCUGCAUCAGUUUGAACCAACAAAGAUUCUGUUGCCAUAUGGCCCUAAUUAUGUUAAUGUGAGGCCCAAAGGAUGCAGUGCAAUAAUAAAAAGGAAAUACUGUGUGAUCCAUCAUCACUUUGGCACUCAAGGCAGGACUUUCAAAGGUAUUUAGGCACCAAAAGCAGCAGACAGGUGCGUCAAAGAUUUUCUGUGUUCCAUUUCCCCACGACAAAAAUUUAUUUCCUUUCUGUCCCAAACCAGGCUUGAGAGUCCCUGAAAAGAGGGUAGAAACAUUUUAUUUUUAUCACCAUGGAAAUAAGAGGGGUCUUUCUAAAGUGGACCUCUAACUGCUUUGUUUCUAGACCUCUCUGAGUGCUUGGCAGGUCCCAGUGGUGGCAGGGCCUGCAGACACUCCGAGGGUCCAGGUGAGGCGGCUCCCAGGCAUCGCUGGAGCAAAACUUUGGCACCAGGUAAGGAUCUCCACAAGAAGAAUGACUCCAGCCAGGCUCACUCGCCCCCAGGGAGUGGCUAAGCCACACAGCCCCAUCAGCACAGCUCCUUGCAGUGUUAUCCCAGCAUAUGGGGCUGCAGGAGGAUAUGGGGAGCACAAGUGCCACUUACUCCUGUCCUCGGUGGAUGGAAGCCUACUGCACCCUGAGCUCCCAUCGGUAUGGAAACCUUC